This 467-nucleotide ribosomal RNA is filed under the name uncultured bacterium. RNAcentral's name for it is "partial 16S ribosomal RNA". It matches the Rfam family "Bacterial small subunit ribosomal RNA", at positions 29 to 507 of the family's 1533-position model. The record is from RNAcentral.
ACGAACGCUGGCGGCGUGCUUAACACAUGCAAGUCGAACGGAAAGGCCCUGCUUUUGUGGGGUGCUCGAGUGGCGAACGGGUGAGUAACACGUGAGUAACCUGCCCUUGACUUUGGGAUAACUUCAGGAGACUGGGGCUAAUACCGGAUAGGAGCUCCUGCUGCAUGGUGGGGGUUGGAAAGUUUCGGCGGUUGGGGAUGGACUCGCGGCUUAUCAGCUUGUUGGUGGGGUAGUGGCUUACCAAGGCUUUGACGGGUAGCCGGCCUGAGAGGGUGACCGGCCACAUUGGGACUGAGAUACGGCCCAGACUCCUACGGGAGGCAGCAGUGGGGAAUAUUGCACAAUGGGCGGAAGCCUGGUGCAGCAACGCCGCGUGCGGGAUGACGGCCUUCGGGUUGUAAACCGCUUUCGCCUGUGACGAAGCGUGAGUGACGGUAAUGGGUAAAGAAGCACCGGCUAACUACGUG